This 481-nucleotide ribosomal RNA is filed under the name uncultured bacterium. RNAcentral describes it as "partial 16S ribosomal RNA". It matches the Rfam family "Bacterial small subunit ribosomal RNA", at positions 28 to 507 of the family's 1533-position model. The record is from RNAcentral.
GAUGAACGCUGGCGGCGUGCUUAACACAUGCAAGUCGAACGAAGCACUUUAUUUGAUUUCCUUCGGGACUGAUUAUUUUGUGACUGAGUGGCGGACGGGUGAGUAACGCGUGGGUAACCUGCCUUGUACAGGGGGAUAACAGUUGGAAACGGCUGCUAAUACCGCAUAAGCGCACAGCAUCGCAUGAUGCAGUGUGAAAAACUCCGGUGGUAUAAGAUGGACCCGCGUUGGAUUAGCUAGUUGGUGAGGUAACGGCCCACCAAGGCGACGAUCCAUAGCCGACCUGAUAGGGUGACCGGCCACAUUGGGACUGCGACACGGCCCACACUCCUACGGGAGGCAGCAGUGGGGAAUAUUGCACAAUGGGCGAAAGCCUGAUGCAGCGACGCCGCGUGAGCGAAGAAGUAUUUCGGUAUGUAAAGCUCUAUCAGCAGGGAAGAUAAUGACGGUACCUGACUAAGAAGCACCGGCUAAAUACGUG